This is a long non-coding RNA of Meriones unguiculatus (Mongolian gerbil), 255 nucleotides long. RefSeq lists it as uncharacterized. The record is from RefSeq and is a predicted model, not a curated record. The transcript is spliced from 2 exons. NCBI's taxonomy places the organism in Eukaryota, Metazoa, Chordata, Mammalia, Rodentia, Muridae.
AGUCCAAGCCGGGACCAGUGAGUGGCUCUCUGUUGCUUGCAGAUCUAGAUGCAGAAGUCUAAGCUACUUCUCCAGCACCAUGUCUGCCUGUGUGCCACCACGCUGACAAUGGACUAAACCUCUGAAACUGGUUCCUCUAUGUAAUCCUGGCUGUCCUGGAUCUUGCUAUGUGGACCAAGAUGCCCUUGAGCCCAAGAGAUCUGCCUGCCUCUGGCUGCCAUUAAAGUACUGACAUUAAAGGUGUGUGUCAGCAUG